This 203-nucleotide unclassified non-coding RNA is filed under the name Hevea brasiliensis (rubber tree). The record is from RNAcentral. Lineage: Eukaryota; Viridiplantae; Streptophyta; Magnoliopsida; Malpighiales; Euphorbiaceae.
UGAGAAAACAUGUGGGUACUAGAUGGGGAUCUAAAAUCAGAGUAAAAGCUGGGCUGCGAUGACAUUGGAGAGUCAUAAGAGCUAGAAGGGUAAUAGGAGGAAGAACAAGAUUGAGAAGGAGAAGUAGAGGGAGAUAGUGAAGAAUAAGAAGGGGACGUUAGAGUAGAGGUUGGUGAAGCACUUUUCAUAAAAGGCUCAAGUGC